RNAcentral lists this long non-coding RNA (3902 nucleotides) under Citrus x clementina. RNAcentral's name for it is "Citrus clementina (C. clementina) long non-coding RNA (CCLE_LNC000890)". Lineage: Eukaryota; Viridiplantae; Streptophyta; Magnoliopsida; Sapindales; Rutaceae. The record is from RNAcentral.
UUUGACCACGCGGAUGAACAGUAACACGGUUUGACCCGACUUUGAACAGUAACGCGGUUUGACCCGGAUGAACAGUAACGCGGUUUGGUUGAAACUAAUCCUGUGUGAUGCAUGCACCGUACGCGAGAUUUUUCGUCCACUGAUAUACUGCCACGUCACCAUCAACAGUACAUAAGAAUUUUAGCCCAACAGGAUCGUGACACCUCAUCAGUCAAUGCCACGUCAUCAAUCUGUCUAUGUGAACAGUGCCGUGAACAGUAACGUAUACAGUACUGUGUACGUGAAUAGUACCGUACAUGUGAAUAGUGUCAUUUUUCCUUUUAUGGUCCUCCUAAGGUUUUCGACCGUCCUGAGUUCAAAAGUGAUGUCCGUUUUGCCGUCUGAUCUCUCCUUUAUUGUGAAAUGACUAUAAUGCCCCUAGAAUACAUAAAUUACUUAAUUAAAAUAAAACACACGUAAUUAAAUCAUAAGAAUGUUAAAUACAUAAAAGUAAGGGUUGUUAGUAAGACUUGAAAUGUAAAAUGACGGUUUUCUCCUUUAUAAAUAUGCAUUUUCUAACACUCAACAAGGGUGAGGGUGAUGUUGAGGGUGAGGGUGAGGGUGAGGGUGAGGUUGAGGGUGAGUGUGAGGGAGAUAGUGAGAUUGAAUGUGAGGGUGAUGGUAAAGGGAAUGUAGCUCAGUUGCUGUACAAAAAGAUAUCAAUCUUCUUUGAUUUAGAAUAUUGGGAACAUUUGUUAGUUCGCCAUCAACUAGAUGUGAUGCAUAUUGAGAAAAAUGUAUGCGAGAGCAUCUAUGGCACAUUACUCCAUCAACCGCGGAAAACAAAAGAUGAAAUUAAUGCUAGAAAAGAUCUUAUACAUCCAGACCUUAGAGAAAAAAUUAACAAAGCAUUGAUUGUAUUAGCUCCUGAUGAACAAAACAAAGUCUUGCCCCCUGCCCCGUACACUUUAAGUAAGAAGGAAAAAAAAAUGAUCUGUGAAACCUUGCAAAGUGUUAAAGUUCCUGAUGGCUAUUGUUCUAAUUUUAGAAAUAUUGUUUCAAUGGAUGAUUGUCGUCUUCACGGGCUUAAGUCUCAUGAUUGUCAUACCUUGAUGCAACAACUACUACCAUUAGCAAUUCGAAAUUGUUUACCUCAAAAUGUCAGAUCUGUCAUAAUCAGGUUGUGCCUCUUCUUUAAUUCUUUGUGUUCUAAGGUAGUAGAGCCCAAUUCUCUAGACCAAUUGCAAAAAGAACUUACAAUCACCUUAUACAAUUUAGAACAAUCUUUCCUACCUGCCUUCUUCGAUAUAAUGGUCCAUUUAACAGUCCAUCUAGUUGAAGAAGUUAGAUUAUGUGGCCCGGUUUACCUUCGAUGGAUGUAUCCAUUUGAGAGAGAAAUGAAACCUAUAAAGGGCUAUGUACGCAGCCGAUACCAUCCUGAAGGUUGCAUUGCAGAGUGCUAUAUUGCUGAGGAAGCACUUGAAUUUUGUGCUGAAUACCUUUCCAAUUGUAAUUCAAUCGGACUACUUACUAGUUGUCUAAUUGAUUUUACAGUCGAAAGGCCACUCGGAGGUGCAAAUAUUAAGAUGGUUGAUGGCCCUACAUUGGCGCAAGUGCACCGAUGUGUUUUAGAUAACACCCCCGAGAUUCAACCAUACAUAGAGUAUAUGACUGAAAAUUUGAACCUCUUUUUCGUUAAUUUUUUUUCAAUUUUAAUAAUUCUGUUGGUAUAAUUUUAGGGAGCAUUUAGCUUUAUUGCAAUCAACACACCCUCGUCAAUUAAAAAAGCCUUUAUGGUUGCCAACUGAGCACUCCCGUACGUUUGCUGAGCUGAAACAAAAGGUUAGAUUAACUUCAUUAGAUCUAAUAAAAGUAUCCAAGUAAAAGCACACAAACUUUUCUCUUUCAACUAAUUAUUGUGAUUUUAUUAAUUGAACAAUAGGUAACAACUGAUAAAGCAAAUAAUGUAGUGGUUGACGAAAACGUAUGGUGGCUGGCAAACAAACCCUGCUCAAGCGUGGUUACAUAUGAUGGCUACUGUAUUAAUGGUUUUAAUUUUGCUACAAGAGAUCGGGAUAGCAACCGUAUAACACAAAACAAUGGCGUUUAUGUAGUUGCUAAAACUUUACAGAUUUCAAGUUCGCAAGACAAAAAUCCUCAUUCUAGGGAUAUGCCUUUUUAUGGGGUUGUUAGUGAAAUUUGGCAGCUUGAUUAUCUAGGGGUUAAGAACGUACUUUUCAAGUGCGAUUGGGUAGAUGAUAGAGGGGUUAAUGUUGAUGAGUUAGGGUUCACUGUAGUCAAUUUAGAUUGAAUAGGCUACAAAUCUGACUGUUUCAUUCUAGCUCGUCAUGCAAAGCAAGUGUUUUAUGUGAAAGAUCAGUUAGAUAAUAGUAAAUCAGUUGUUUGUUCAGUGAGCUCAAAAUGUAAUUAUUCAAAUGAGGACUUGUGUGAUGGCAUCGAUGAGUAUGUACCAUUAUCCAACAAUUUUCUAGAAUGUAAGUUAGGUUUGGGUGAUGAGGAGUUUGUGUCAGAGUAGUUGUUGAUGUUUUUCUUGUAAAUAUUGGUACGGAAAAUGAAUAAUCCAACUACUAUGCCUUAUUACCACUAUUUCCCGUAAGUCACCAACAAAUUUGUUUUUUAUUAUUUUAUUAUUAUAUUAGGAUAUUAGAUUGGUAUGUGGUGCACUCAUCCACUUUGAUGUAUUUGCAGGUUUGUUGGAGACAUGGCAGAAAAAGAGGAGCCAACAUUUGAUCCAGAUCUAGAAGGCAGACCAAGACGAAACCUUACAAAGAAGAAAGACCUGCAGAGAGGAGCUAGUGACGACACUGAGGUUAUGUACAAUUCUUUCGGAGUUCCAGUUGGCAAAAAGAGAAAUGAUAUGAGGAACUACAUUGGGGUGAUUGUACGGGAAAGAGUUCCAAUUAUCUAUGAUGAUUGGAGGAAAGUGCCACUAGACAUCAAGGAGACAUUAUUGACUCAUUUUUAGGAAAAGUUUAAGUUGAGUCUUAAGGCGAAAACCCAAGUGUUCAAGUGGAUGGGAAUUGCAUUAAGGGGCUUUAGAUGUAAGUUGGCCAAUGAAUAUAUUCUGCCCAAUGCAAACAACUUGAGUUCACUGAAAAAGCCUCCUCUUGAGUAUGAAAGCAUUAGAAAAGAGGACUGGAAGAGCUUUGUUGAUAAGAUUUUAUCUGAAGCCUUUCAGGUAUGUUUAAAAUUAUGUUAGUUAAAUAAUAUUAUUGAGUUCAUGUAACCAUUUUAAUCAAUAUCCGCUUUGUGCAGGAAAAAAGUAAGGCAGCAAAGGAAAAAUUAGCAAAGAAUAUGUACAAUCAUCACUUGGGCAGCACAGGAUAUGCUGGGUUGUUGCAUAAAAGAGUAAGUAUAAUAACCACUCUAUACAAACUUAUGACAUUUUCAAUACAAAUAAUAGGAUGAUUCAUACCAGUUUUCAAUUUAAUUUUUGUUGAAUUAUUACAGCAGUUGGACCUCGGAGUUACUGAGUACGAGAUUGACUGCAGUGAAGCCUGGUUAUUGGCUCAUAGGAGAAAAGAUGGAACUUAUACACUUGAAGUGCAGCAAGUGGCUGAGAGAAUUGUAAGUUUCCACCACCACUGCCAUUAUUUAACUUAUUUGUUUUUUUAUUCCUAAUUUUGAUCAAAUUAUUUUUGUAUUUAUUUUGUAGAGUGAGCUAAGAAGUUAAGUUGAGCAGGGAACGUUCCAAUCCCAAGGACCGAAUGAUAUCCUAGGUGAAGCACUUCAAAAGAAGCCUAAUGGAAGUCGGGUACAAGGAUUGGGUCAAUUCAUCACCCCAUCCAUGUAUUUCAAUGUCCCUAACCCCACGGAGUUGGCACGAGAACGGAAAAUGUAUCAGGAGAGUUUUCAGUUUAUGCAAGCUCAAUAGAUCAAAUGAAUGCAAGGAUCAACGCCNN